GUAGCUUGUCUUUUACAUUUUCGGUAAAAAUGUUUAUUCGGGGUUUCAAAUGGAAGAUGUUUGGGUACUAGCCCUAUACUUAAAAGUAAUACAAAUCUAAAGAUUGUUUUUGUCUUUUCCUUAGUAAUCGCAGCAAUAGUUGGAACGCUCGGAGCUGGUAAGCCAUCUCUCGAAAUUGUUGCGUCUUAAAACAAAACAUGAAAAAUAAUUAGCUUGUAAAUCAAAUUAAAAUAGUUUUUAUCGCCUACGUGUUCAAAUCCUUAGCCAUAUAAUGAUCAUGUUGCUAAGUGUUGAUGUCUGCUGAUCUGUUACGAGGUGGAGCCGUGGUCGCUGCCCCUUUUGUUCUGGGGGCCGUUGGAUUCACCGCGGCCGGAAUCACGGUGGGCUCAUAUGCUGCAGGCAUGAUGUCUGCAGCUGCCGUAGCGAACGGAGGGGCGGUGGCAGCGGGCACUACAGUGGCCGUGUUGCAGGCAGCAGGUGCGGCUGGACUGGGGGCCGCAGCUACUGCUGCAACUGCUAGUGCAGGAGGAGCAGCGGCCGCUCUCCUGGCUCUCCUCUUCUAAAAUCAACCGGAACUUAAUAAAUAUGCUCUCCUCUUAUCCAACCGAUUUGUUGAUUCAUUAUUUGCAUUAGGCUACACAAUGGCAUUAAAAAUAUAUAUAUCCCCAUUUACCUUAGCAAUCCUUGCUAACAGUGGAAUAGGGCUAGUGUAUCGUUUCAAGCAUGUCAGUUGACUUUGUUAAACUAAAUUCUGGAGCGAAAUUUGUUUCUCGUUGAUUGUGCUUAUGCAAUGUAGCCAUCUAAAAAAUUCAAUAAAAACAUUACAGCAUA
This is a long non-coding RNA of Gadus macrocephalus (Pacific cod), 831 nucleotides long. RefSeq lists it as uncharacterized. The record is from RefSeq and is a predicted model, not a curated record. The transcript is spliced from 2 exons. NCBI's taxonomy places the organism in Eukaryota, Metazoa, Chordata, Actinopteri, Gadiformes, Gadidae.